AUAUUGCGCAAUGGAGGGAACUAUGACGCAGCGACGCCGCGUGAGCGAUGAAGGUAUUCGGAUCGUAGAGCAAUGCCCUUGGGGAAGAAGGUCUUCGGACUUGACUGUACCUAAAGAGGAAGCCCCGGCUAACCUAGUGCCAGCAGCCGCGGUAAUACGUAGGGGGCAAGCGUUGUCCGGAAUUAUUGGGCGUGUAGGUUGCGUAGGCCGCCUUUUAAGUCAGAUGUGAAAGCCCACGGCUUAACCGUGGGACUGCAUUUGAAACUGGAGGGCUUGAGUAUCGGAGAGGGUAGUGGAAUUCCCAGUGUAGCGGUGGAAUGCGUAGAUAUUGGGAGGAACGCCAGUGGCGAAGGCGACUACCUGGACGAAAGCUGACGCUGAGGCACGAAAGCUAGGGGAGCAAACA
Molecule: ribosomal RNA, 406 nt
Filed under: uncultured bacterium
Lineage: Bacteria
Description: partial 16S ribosomal RNA
Rfam family: Bacterial small subunit ribosomal RNA
Source: RNAcentral